ACUCGGACAGGUGGGAAUACACCAAACGCUCAGAUGAAACUCCGAGACAUUCGAAGAAAGUGUGUGCCAAUGAAAACAAAAACAUACAUUCUACUUUACCCACCAGCUGGUCCAUCCUAGCUUUUGAGAGCGGGAACGAAACCAAAAGAGAAGGGAUCUAAUUCUGCACAACUCGAAGACUCGAAACGCCAUAAUAGUGUUUCCAACCUUUUCCAGUCCACCUGGCCAUGCUGCUGCUCCAGUUUCAACUGUUCUGCCUGCGGCUAUGGAACCCUGACCUGUUCACCUGACGUGCUACCUGUCCCAGACCUGCUGUUUUCAACUCUUGAGACAGCAGGAGCGGUAGAGAUACUCUCAAUGAUCGGCUAUGAAAAGCCAACUGACAUUUACUCCUGAGGUGCUGACUUGUUGCACCCUCGACAACCACUGUGAUGAUUGUUAUUUGACCAUGCUGGUCAUUUAUGAACAUUUGAACAUCUUGGCCAUGUUCUGUUAUAAUCUCCACCCGGCACAGCCAGAAGAGGACUGGCCACCCCUCAUAGCCUGGUUCCUCUCUAGGUUUCUUCCUAGGUUUUGGCCUUUCUAGGGAGUUUUUCCUAGCCACUGUGCUUCUGCACCUGCAUUGCUUGCUGUUUGCGGUUUUAGGCUGGGUUUCUGUUGAGCACUUUGAUAUAUCAGCUGAUGUAAGAAAGGCU
Long non-coding RNA from Oncorhynchus masou masou (cherry salmon), 695 nucleotides. RefSeq lists it as uncharacterized. The record is from RefSeq and is a predicted model, not a curated record. Lineage: Eukaryota; Metazoa; Chordata; Actinopteri; Salmoniformes; Salmonidae. The transcript is spliced from 3 exons.